GACGAACGCUGGCGGCGUGCUUAACACAUGCAAGUCGAACGGAAAGGCUCUGCUUUUGUGGGGUGCUCGAGUGGCGAACGGGUGAGUAACACGUGAGUAACCUGCCCUUGACUUUGGGAUAACUUCAGGAAACUGGGGCUAAUACCGGAUAGGAGCCCCUGCUGCAUGGUGGGGGUUGGAAAGUUUCGGCGGUUGGGGAUGGACUCGCGGCUUAUCAGCUUGUUGGUGGGGUAGUGGCUUACCAAGGCUUUGACGGGUAGCCGGCCUGAGAGGGUGACCGGCCACAUUGGGACUGAGAUACGGCCCAGACUCCUACGGGAGGCAGCAGUGGGGAAUAUUGCACAAUGGGCGGAAGCCUGAUGCAGCAACGCCGCGUGCGGGAUGACGGCCUUCGGGUUGUAAACCGCUUUCGCCUGUGACGAAGCGUGAGUGACGGUAAUGGGUAAAGAAGCACCGGCUAACUACGUG
This 468-nucleotide ribosomal RNA is filed under the name uncultured bacterium. Its description in RNAcentral is "partial 16S ribosomal RNA". It matches the Rfam family "Bacterial small subunit ribosomal RNA", at positions 28 to 507 of the family's 1533-position model. The record is from RNAcentral.